Molecule: ribosomal RNA, 497 nt
Filed under: uncultured bacterium
Lineage: Bacteria
Description: partial 16S ribosomal RNA
Rfam family: Bacterial small subunit ribosomal RNA
Source: RNAcentral
GAUGAACGCUGGCGGCGUGCCUAAUACAUGCAAGUCGAGCGAACAGACGAGGAGCUUGCUCCUCUGACGUUAGCGGCGGACGGGUGAGUAACACGUGGAUAACCUACCUAUAAGACUGGGAUAACUUCGGGAAACCGGAGCUAAUACCGGAUAAUCUAUUGAACCGCAUGGUUCAAUAGUGAAAGACGGUUUUGCUGUCACUUAUAGCUGGAUCUGGGCCGCAUUAGCUAGUAGGUAAGGUAAAGGCUUACCAAGGCAACGAGGCGUAGCCGACCGGAUAGGGGGAUCGGCCACAUUGGAAGGUAGACACGGACCAGACUCCUAAGGGAGGCAGCAGUAUGGUACCUUCCGCAAUGGGCGGAAACCUGACGGAGUAACGCCACGUGAGUGAUGAAGGUCUUCGGAGCGUAAAACUCUGUUUUGAGUGAAGAACAAAUGUGUAAGUAACUAUGCACGUCUUGACGGUACCUAGUCAGAAAGCCACGGCUAACUACGUG